This is a long non-coding RNA of Brachypodium distachyon (stiff brome), 1780 nucleotides long. RefSeq lists it as uncharacterized. NCBI's taxonomy places the organism in Eukaryota, Viridiplantae, Streptophyta, Magnoliopsida, Poales, Poaceae. The transcript has 2 exons. The record is from RefSeq and is a predicted model, not a curated record.
CCCAAUCUUUCCUCCCCUAGCCGCCACAUGCUUAUCUCUCCCUCUGCCCUCCCCAUCUCUCACCCUGUCUACCUCCUACACGAACAGCCCUAUCUCCUUCCUCACCAGCGCCACUGCCCCUCCUCCCUCACUGUGAUUCCCUCUCCUCCUCCCACACCAGCGGCCGGCGACGACAGAGCGCGUAUGGAGGAGCAGCAGCGUCGCCGGGUACGCAUCUCUCCCUCUCUCUCGUUUUUUUCUUCUAAAUCUCACUUUCUCUCUCGUAGAUUUCUUGGUUGGUGGCCGGCUCGGCGUGCAAUUUUGGCAAGCAACAAGUUAGCCGGAUUAUUUGGUGAUUUGUUUUUGUAUACAAAUUUGUAUAUAGAAUCUCUAAUUCCGGAUUUAAGUGAUUUGUUGUGGUGUCAAGAUACUGCUUGUAUGUAUAUACAGAUUUGCCAACCCGCAGCCUCCUCGACCAACGCCUGGAGGACAAGCGGCUUGCGGGACCUGGAGCAGCGGCGGCGCGUGGCGCUUGGAGGAGCAGCUGACGGCCAUGACGCCGGAUGUGGCCGCCCUGACAAUUAUGCCAGCAAUUUGUGUGCAAUUAGAACAAAAUAAACAUGGCUAGCAUAUAAUUAUAUGCUAGCCAUGAGUUUUUUUUAAUUAUGGCCACAACUCAUCAUUGUCGGUCCCUACUUGUGCCCGCCACUACGUGUACCACAUCAGUGACGGUCCGUAGGCCCGUUACUGAUGUUCAGUACAUUAGUGACAGGAAGUUAGUGACGGGCGGCCCGCCCGUUACUGAUAACCGUUUCUGUAGUAGUGCGCCCGGGUAUAAAUGACUACAUUUGUCUAAAGUUGUCUAUCCUCAAGAAAGUAAGUGCAUGAAAGUGGCAAUUCUUAAUGACAUAAUAUAUUAUGCACAGAGUCACUCCUAGUUAAUUUGGUUUCCCUUCAAUUUUCCCUUGCUUAAAAAUGACAACAUCUAAUUUCGAACUUAUUGAAUUAUGAUCAUGUAAAACCAGAUAUCUCAUUUCUCUAUGUUCCUAUGCUGUUUGCACUGUAUCUUUUCAGUAACAGUAUGUUCCUAUGUUUUCUGUACUGUAUCUUUUCAGGGUUUUUUUUCUAGGGUUACAUUGGCAAUGAGAAUAGAGUGAUGUAGCUACCAGGUUGUAUUGGUAGUCCCAAGUUGUAGUUUCGACCAUUUCUUAAAAGUAGCCAAGUUUUGCUCAAAAUUUGAAUGUGCAUGGUUCUGAAGUACUGAGAAAGCUGAAGGAAUUCUUGGACAAGUGUGGGACUGUGAACUGACAUGGUUUAACACUAUGUGAGCUGCAUGUCUGUGUCAAGGAUUCAAGAAAACAAGGCUCACUCAGAAACGUUUGGAGGAAUCUGAAACAGGUUUGGUGGUUUAUCCUCGGAAGGAUGAAACAUUGGGGGAUGUUUUUUGCCCCCGGGGCGAUGGCGCCGGAGGUGAUGAGGCUCUCGAAGCUGCCGAUCUGGUCGGACAGCGUGGGCGCGCCGCGUGGCACCGGGUACACGCCGGAGGUGGCGGCCGGGAAGUUCAUCCCCGUCGGGUCGCAGUUGCCGUACGUUCGCCCCCGUUGAGGCGUACGCGUACGGCGGCGGCGACUUGUUGAAACCCAUCAUGGCCGCUGCAAUUAAUAUAUACACGCAAAUUAUGUAAGAUCCAACAUGAUCAAUUGGUACGUACGCACGAAUGCCGAUUAAUGCAUGCAUGCAUGCGCAUGGAUCAAUGUAAGGUGGGUAUAAUCAAGAUUAAGCAAAGUAUUAUAUUAGUACA